CGAGGGGUGCAAGCGUUGCUCGGAAUUAUUGGGCGUAAAGGGUAGGUAGGUGGUCUCAUUUGUCAGGGGUGAAAGCCUUGGGCUUAACCCAAGAAGUGCCCCUGAAACGGUGAGACUGGAGUCCUGGAGAGGGUCGUGGAAUUCCCGGUGUAGCGGUGAAAUGCGUAGAGAUCGGGAGGAACACCAGAGGCGAAGGCGGCGACCUGGACAGGUACUGACACUCAACUACGAAAGCGUGGGGAGCAAACAGGAUUAGAUACCCUGGUAGUCCACGCUGUAAACGAUGGGAACUAGGUUUGGUGGGUCUUGACCCCCGCGAGCCGUAGCUAACGCGAUAAGUUCCCCGCCUGGGAAGUACGGUCGCAAGACUA
Molecule: ribosomal RNA, 371 nt
Filed under: uncultured organism
Description: bacterial SSU rRNA
Rfam family: Bacterial small subunit ribosomal RNA
Source: RNAcentral